CUGCCAGACUCCUACGGGAGGCAGCAGUGGGGAAUAUUGCACAAUGGGGGAAACUCUGAUGCAGCGACGCCGCGUGAGGGAAGACGGUCUUCGGAUUGUAAACCUCUGUCUUUGGGGAAGAAAAUGACGGUACCCAAAGAGGAAGCUCCGGCUAAAUACGUGCCAGCAGCCGCGGUAAUACGUAUGGUGCAAGCGUUAUCCGGAUUUACUGGGUGUAAAGGGAGCGCAGGCGGCACGGCAAGCCUGAUGUGAAAGCCCGCGGCCCAACCGCGGGACUGCAUUGGGAACUACCGGGCUGGAGUGCCGGAGAGGUAGGCGGAAUUCCUAGUGUAGCGGUGAAAUGCGUAGAUAUUAGGAGGAACACCAGUGGCGAAGGCGGCCUACUGGACGGUGACUGACGCUGAGGCUCGAAAGCGUGGGGAGCAAACAGGAUUAGAUACCCGAGUAUGG
This 450-nucleotide ribosomal RNA is filed under the name uncultured bacterium. RNAcentral's name for it is "bacterial SSU rRNA". It matches the Rfam family "Bacterial small subunit ribosomal RNA", at positions 328 to 793 of the family's 1533-position model. The record is from RNAcentral.